This 73-nucleotide transfer RNA is filed under the name Chrysobalanus icaco. RNAcentral's name for it is "tRNA-Asn". It matches the Rfam family "tRNA". From Rfam's summary of the family: Transfer RNA (tRNA) molecules are approximately 80 nucleotides in length. Lineage: Eukaryota; Viridiplantae; Streptophyta; Magnoliopsida; Malpighiales; Chrysobalanaceae. The record is from RNAcentral. RNAcentral also lists the same sequence under 6 other names.
UCCUCAGUAGCUCCAGUGGUAGAGCGGUCGGCUGUUAACUGACUGGUCGUAGGUUCGAAUCCUACUUGGGGAG